GGAAGACUUAAGAUGGCGGCGUUUGCACGGAGUGCAAUCACUGCGUCCUUACGGGGGUUGCAAGGCGUCCGAAGUAUGAGUCCACUAACAAAAGUCCAGAAACUCGCCAGUUAAUAGUAUUGUGUCUCUUCAAAAUAUCGGAGAAUAAUUUCUUUCUCGCUGAUCGCCUAACUUCUACUGACGAAGCUUGGAAGUUGCAGAAGAUGGAGUUCGCUCUUGUUGCCCAGGCUGGAAUGCAAUGGCAUGACCUUGGCUCACUGCAACCUCUGCCUCCCCAGUUCAAGUGGUUCUCCUGCCUCAGCCUCCCGAGUAGCUGAGAUUACAGGUACUGGCUCCUGUAUCACCCAGCUCUGGAGUUGAAAGAGCUCUUCAUUCCUGAGUCUCCUGUACCACUGAGAAUAGAGACGGGGUUUCUCCAUGUUGGUCAGGCUGGUCUCGAACUCCCGACCUCAGGUGAUCCGCCCGCCUCAGCCUCCCAAAGUGCUGGGAUUACAGGCAUGAGCCACCGCGUCCAGCAAGAAUAGGUGAUUUUCAAACUUGGAAACAUUCAGAAGUUAUCGCCUCAGUUUCAGAUUGAGUAGUCUCAAAGAGAUUACAGACAUCUACCACAAAUUCUCUACUUGGUGUGGUGCAAAAUCAGUAUGAUGUAAACUUUGUCUCUCAGUUUCUUCAAAGGAAAGAAGCAACUGGAACACACAUAUAACACUAACCCUUCCAGCUGCAUUAUGAGGGACCAGUACCUGUCUCAAGGCAAAAUUAUGACUUAGUUCAUCCUCACCUCUGGAGGCCAGUAAAAGUGGGUUAUAGAAGAACAAAGAGGCAUCUAGAUCUUUCACUGGGUUAUUUGGAGAGAAACAUCUCCUACCGAAGGCCAGUUUAACAAGACUGGUAGAGGAGGUUAUCUUAUCUAAUUCACAGAAAUCAACACAUUGAGUCAAGAAAAAUGAAACACAGAAACACUCUAAAUAAAAGAAGAUAAGUCUUCAGAAACCAACCCUAAUGAAA
This is a long non-coding RNA of Homo sapiens (human), 1005 nucleotides long. Ensembl annotates it as JPX transcript, XIST activator. Its record names the gene JPX. NCBI's taxonomy places the organism in Eukaryota, Metazoa, Chordata, Mammalia, Primates, Hominidae. The record is from Ensembl.